AUUUGGAGAGUUUGAUCCUGGCUCAGGACGAACGCUGGCGGCGUGCCUAAUACAUGCAAGUCGAGCGGAGCUUAUCCUUCGGGGUAAGCUUAGCGGCGGACGGGUGAGUAACACGUAGGCAA
Molecule: ribosomal RNA, 122 nt
Filed under: Paenibacillus sp. P46E
Lineage: Bacteria; Bacillati; Bacillota; Bacilli; Caryophanales; Paenibacillaceae
Description: partial 16S ribosomal RNA
Rfam family: Bacterial small subunit ribosomal RNA
Source: RNAcentral